GUGAAUAUAUUUAUAUUUAUGCGGCACUAAUGAUAAAAGACCACACAUUGGUGCCAAACUUCAUUUACCAGCGUCGAGUUAAUUUUGCAAUGAGAUAUGUCUUCCUGCAAUGAGGAAAUGAAUAGAAAAACUUUGAGUAUGGAUGAACCUUGUUUGGAACGAUUAGCAGAAGAUGAUGAAGAUGAAAUAGAUUCUGACAUUGGUCAAAUUGUGUCAUUAUUUUCCGGGUUAAAGAAUAAGU
Long non-coding RNA from Amphimedon queenslandica, 241 nucleotides. RefSeq lists it as uncharacterized. The transcript has 3 exons. The record is from RefSeq and is a predicted model, not a curated record. NCBI's taxonomy places the organism in Eukaryota, Metazoa, Porifera, Demospongiae, Haplosclerida, Niphatidae.